GGUGGGCAGUUAAGCAGGGCUUAGCCUCUUGCCUCAUUCCUUGUUCUCAGGACCUGGGGAAAUCAGUCCUCUCAAGUGCAUGCUCCCCACCUUGAGCCUGCUAACGAUUGUUGAGUGCAGUCCUCACAGAAAACGGUACUUGUGCAGGAAAACAGUUUGGUUAUGGGAGUAUAGGAUGACUCACUGACAAAUGGAACCUGU
Molecule: long non-coding RNA, 201 nt
Filed under: Homo sapiens (human)
Lineage: Eukaryota; Metazoa; Chordata; Mammalia; Primates; Hominidae
Description: HSALNT0006207
Source: RNAcentral